RNAcentral lists this long non-coding RNA (457 nucleotides) under Setaria viridis. Its description in RNAcentral is "long non-coding RNA (SVIR_LNC008203)". The record is from RNAcentral. Lineage: Eukaryota; Viridiplantae; Streptophyta; Magnoliopsida; Poales; Poaceae.
ACACUACAAGGUUGAGCCAAUGCAUAUACAGUCAGAUCUGCAUAUAGAUGUGUUUGGUCAUUUUGUAAAACAAAAUAUAGAAUCAACUCAACCUGUAUUGUUCGUUAACUAAAUUUUGUGCGUGUAUAUAUAGUCCAGUCUAAUAAUAUGAGGAUUCUUACAGCCCGCAGCGUUGGUUGCAAAUUGUUAAGCAUGUUUCUACAAACUUGCCCUCUCUAGACUUGCCAACAUCCUCCACAACUUUCCAUUGCUCCUCCCAAGUCCCAACUACUUAGUUUACUCACCUAGUCUAUUGCAACCCUAUUGAUUUGCUAAUGGUGCGCACAAGACAUCCACUUUUAAUGCUCUGCCCUCCUUGAUUUGCUUGAUGCCCGGUGGACAAACUUCAGCUAAUAAGCUGGUUUUUAAUUUAGUUAUUACGAGUAAAUCACCGUCCAUGUACAUAUUCAGUUUCAUU